GCGGUGUCGCCAGCCAGGUGUCGCCCGGAGGGAGAAGGAAGCUCCCAACCAGGCCGGGACGGCAGCGCGGGGCCUGUGCAGCCGCCCGGCCCCCGCCCGCAGGGCGGCGCUGCUUCCAGCCGCAGCCUGGAGCCGGGCCGGGGGUUCGAUACUGCCCUGCAGCGCCAUGCCGCGCUGAAAUCCCUCGCUGUACCUGGGAAGCGCCCCUGGGACAGCCGGUGGCUUUGGUAGGAAGGAAAAUACUUACAGCGGACAUGCCAUACAGGAGGACAGCAAGUACUUCCCAUAAUUGCAAAAGGAAUAUUAAGAUAGUAGAAAACCAAGCUUGGAUGCAGCUCUCGGGAAUUCCUGGCAUGUCACCAAGAAGUCCUCUGCUGGUUGGAUUCAAAUCUGUUUCUCAUGUAAUAUCCAACUGUAUUUACAGAGAUAGUUAGAGCCACAUUCUAUGUGCUUCAAAUUAAAAGGUCCAGACUCUUUCACAUUUAAAGACAUUGGUUUGUUAACAGUUUCAUACGACUGCAGCACGUAGUUUGGCUUUUCAUUUUGCUCUUGGUGGAGAAGGAUGAAAGGUUCACUGAUAUUGUGUCUAUACACAAUUUUUAGUUAUUUUUUCAAGAAGCUGGGGGGGGGCAAAGAGACUUUCC
Molecule: long non-coding RNA, 644 nt
Filed under: Columba livia (rock pigeon)
Lineage: Eukaryota; Metazoa; Chordata; Aves; Columbiformes; Columbidae
Description: partial uncharacterized LOC102094513
Source: RNAcentral